UAGUCCACGCCGUAAACGAUGGAUACUAGCUGUUGGACUUUCGGGUUCAGUGGCUAAGCGAAAGUGAUAAGUAUCCCACCUGGGGAGUACGUUCGCAAGAAUGAAACUCAAAGGAAUUGACGGGGGCCCGCACAAGCGGUGGAGCAUGUGGUUUAAUUCGAUGAUACGCGAGGAACCUUACCAGGGCUUAAAUGUAGUGUGACAGGGGUGGAAACACCUUUUUUCUUCGGACACAUUACAAGGUGCUGCAUGGUUGUCGUCAGCUCGUGCCGUGAGGUGUCAGGUUAAGUCCUAUAACGAGCGCAACCCCUGUUGUUAGUUGCCAACGAGUAAUGUCGGGAACUCUAACAAGACUGCCGGUGCAAACCGUGAGGAAGGUGGGGAUGACGUCAAAUCAUCACGGCCCUUACGUCCUGGGCUACACACGUGCUACAAUGGCCGGUACAAUGAGCAGCCACCCCGUGAGGGGGAGCGAAUCUAUAAAACCGGUCACAGUUCGGAUCGGAGUCUGCAACUCGACU
RNAcentral lists this ribosomal RNA (521 nucleotides) under uncultured bacterium. Its description in RNAcentral is "bacterial SSU rRNA". It matches the Rfam family "Bacterial small subunit ribosomal RNA", at positions 791 to 1317 of the family's 1533-position model. The record is from RNAcentral.